CCAAGACAUGCCUGCUUCCCGUUCACCUUCCACUGUGAUUGUGAGUUUCCUGAGGCCUCCCCAGCCGUACUUCCUGGACAGCCUGCAGAACCACAACAAACCAAACAAUAGGGCAAGCUCUGGUUUGUAGUGUCUGCUGAUUCCUGUGGUGUGAAUACUCCCACCAUGGCCAAUAUCAAGCUGCCAACAUGGUGUCACUAUAUGCAGACUUGGGAAGAGAUGCCUGCUAGCACAUCAUGGUACAGAAUCUCCACUCUGCGGAUAUAAUAGGUGCAAACCCCAAGAGCAGAGCAGAGCAAACAGC
This 304-nucleotide long non-coding RNA is filed under the name Homo sapiens (human). RNAcentral describes it as "non-protein coding lnc-CARD11-8:6". The record is from RNAcentral. Lineage: Eukaryota; Metazoa; Chordata; Mammalia; Primates; Hominidae.